UACGUAGGUGGCGAGCGUUGUCCGAAUUCACUGGGCGUAAAGCGCGCGUAGGCGGACUUUUAAGUUGGGGGUGAAAUGCCGAGGCUCAACCUCGGAACUGCCUCCAAAACUGGGAGUCUUGAGGUAUGGAGAGGGAAGUGGAAUUCCAGGUGUAGCGGUGAUAUGCGUAGAUAUCUGGAGGAACACCCGUGGCGAAGGCGGCUUCCUGGUCAUAUCCUGACGCUGAGGUGCGAAAGCCAGGGGAGCGAACGGG
Molecule: ribosomal RNA, 253 nt
Filed under: uncultured bacterium
Lineage: Bacteria
Description: partial 16S ribosomal RNA
Rfam family: Bacterial small subunit ribosomal RNA
Source: RNAcentral